GACAAACGCUGGCGGCGUGCUUAACACAUGCAAGUCGAACGGAAAGGCCCUGCUUUUGUGGGGUGCUCGAGUGGCGAACGGGUGAGUAACACGUGAGUAACCUGCCCUUGACUUUGGGAUAACUUCAGGAAACUGGGGCUAAUACCGGAUAGGAGCUCCUGCUGCAUGGUGGGGGUUGGAAAGUUUCGGCGGUUGGGGAUGGACUCGCGGCUUAUCAGCUUGUUGGUGGGGUAGUGGCUUACCAAGGCUUUGACGGGUAGCCGGCCUGAGAGGGUGACCGGCAAAAUUGGGACUGAGAUACGGCCCAGACUCCGACGGGAGGCAGCAGUGGGGAAUAUUGCACAAUGGGCGGAAGCCUGAUGCAGCAACGCCGCGUGCGGGAUGACGGCCUUCGGGUUGUAAACCGCUUUCGCCUGUGACGAAGCGUGAGUGACGGGAAUGGGUAAAGAAGCACCGGCUAACUACGUG
Molecule: ribosomal RNA, 468 nt
Filed under: uncultured bacterium
Lineage: Bacteria
Description: partial 16S ribosomal RNA
Rfam family: Bacterial small subunit ribosomal RNA
Source: RNAcentral